This is a non-coding RNA of Crucibulum laeve, 77 nucleotides long. The record is from the annotation of a GenBank genome assembly. Lineage: Eukaryota; Fungi; Basidiomycota; Agaricomycetes; Agaricales; Nidulariaceae.
GCCCGUUUAGCUCAGUGGUAGAGCGCGCCACUUGUAUUGCAAUGGUGAGGUCGGUUGUUCAAUCCAGCCAAUGGGCA